This is a non-coding RNA of Spirochaetes bacterium RBG_13_68_11, 73 nucleotides long. The record is from Rfam. NCBI's taxonomy places the organism in Bacteria, Pseudomonadati, Spirochaetota.
GGGCCGCUAGCUCAGUUGGUAGAGCAGAAGACUCUUAAUCUUCGGGUCGCAGGUUCGAGUCCUGCGCGGCUCA